AUACCAGAAAACAGAAAACGCAGAGGAGAAAUUCCCAGAAGGUAUAUUCCUCAAGGAAAUUCAAAUAAUUUCAACCUAACUUUUGGGUGACCUAAAAAGAGAAAAUGUUAGUGGUACAAACGAGAGUAUCAAAAAAUACGGAAAAUGAACAUAUGAUGCCUAAAACCACACAUCCCAUGUAAAAUAUAAUUGUGCACUACCUCUUACUAAUAAAGAAGAGUAAACCAUAGCAGAUGUCACCUCUAAGGCUAUUUUACCUCCUGC
RNAcentral lists this long non-coding RNA (264 nucleotides) under Homo sapiens (human). RNAcentral describes it as "HSALNT0222359". The record is from RNAcentral. Lineage: Eukaryota; Metazoa; Chordata; Mammalia; Primates; Hominidae.